GACGGAAAUAAAGGCCUUCUUCUAAUACUUGAUGGUCUUGACGGUACCAUAAGAAUAAGCACCGGCUAACUACGUGCCACCAGCCGCGGUAAUACGUACGGUGCUAGCGUUAAUCGGAAUUACUGGGCGUAAAGCGUGCGCAGGCGGUUUUGUAAGACAGAGGUGAAAUCCCCGGGCUCAACCUGGGAACUGCCUUUGUGACUGCAAGGCUGGAGUGCGGCAGAGGGGGAUGGAAUUCCUCGUGUAGCAAUGAAAUGCGUAGAUAUGCGGAGGAACACCGAUGGCCAAGGCAAUCCCCUGGGCCUGCACUGACGCUCAUGCACCAAAGGUGGGGAGCAAACAGGAUUAGAUACCCUGGUAGUCCACGCCCUAAACAAUGUCAACUGGUUGUUGGGAAUUCAUUUUCUCAGUAACGAAGCUAACGCGUGAAGUUGACCGCCUGGGGAGUACGGCCGCAAGGUUGAAAG
This 467-nucleotide ribosomal RNA is filed under the name uncultured bacterium. Its description in RNAcentral is "bacterial SSU rRNA". It matches the Rfam family "Bacterial small subunit ribosomal RNA", at positions 439 to 900 of the family's 1533-position model. The record is from RNAcentral.